AAAAAUGAAAACAGAAGAUAUAGUAUGUAAGGACAUGGCCAAGCCUGGGUGAAGGGAGCUCAGAGCAGACCACUACAUGUCACACAGCCUAGGCAUGUACAGAAGAUUCACGUGGAGGAGCCACAGAAGCCAGAACAGGAGACCUGAGCACACCACCAGAGCCCUUGCAGAAGGAAGAGUUCCCUUAGACACUUCCUUGCUGGCCUGAGCCCGACUUCUCCAAUCAAAACUUGACUUGCUGAGCAUUCCCCCACACCAGCUUUCUCCUACCUAAUCCAUAAGGCUCUUCCCAGCCCCCUAAUUGGAAAGGCAGAUUUGAGUCAGAGUCUCCUGCCUCCUUGCUCACAAGCAAUAAUAAAGCCUUUCUCUUUUCAAAG
Molecule: non-coding RNA, 377 nt
Organism: Oryctolagus cuniculus (rabbit)
Lineage: Eukaryota; Metazoa; Chordata; Mammalia; Lagomorpha; Leporidae
Source: RefSeq, a predicted model, not a curated record